This 45-nucleotide non-coding RNA is filed under the name Schistosoma margrebowiei. The record is from RNAcentral. Lineage: Eukaryota; Metazoa; Platyhelminthes; Trematoda; Strigeidida; Schistosomatidae.
AUCCAUCUGACGAGUCCCAAAUAGAACGAAACAUAUGUCCUGAAU